CCUACGGGGGGCUGCAGUGGGGGAUAUUGCACAAUGGGGGGAACCCUGAUGCAGCGACGCCGCGUGGGUGAAGGAGCGUUUCGGCGCGUAAAGCCCUAUCGGCAGGGAAGAAGAUGACGGUACCUGACCAAGAAGCCCCGGCUAACUACGUGCCAGCAGCCGCGGUAAUACGUAGGGGGCAAGCGUUAUCCGGAUUUACUGGGGGUAAAGGGGGCGCAGACGGGAAUGCAAGCCAGGAGGGAAAGCCGGGGGCCCAACCCCGGGACUGCUGUUGGAACUGCAUUGCUGGAGUACGGGAGGGGCAGGCGGAAUGCCUGGUGUAGCGGUGAAAUGCGGAGAUAUUAGGAGGAACACCGGUGGCGAAGGCGGCCUAUUGGACUGUAACUGACGUUGAGGCCCGAAGGUGUGGGGAGCGAACAGGAUUAGAUACCCGGGUAGUC
RNAcentral lists this ribosomal RNA (440 nucleotides) under uncultured bacterium. Its description in RNAcentral is "partial 16S ribosomal RNA". It matches the Rfam family "Bacterial small subunit ribosomal RNA", at positions 338 to 795 of the family's 1533-position model. The record is from RNAcentral.